CGCCGGCCUCUAUCUCCGCCGCUGCUGGGCGCCGGCCUCCGUCUCCACCGCCGCCGGGCGCCGCUCACCGCGCCGGCUUCCUCCCCCUUCGCCGCUUGCCGUGCCGGCAUCCGUCUCCACCGUUGCCAGGCGCGGGAGCGGUGGAUCCGCUGCCGCCGGCGCCUCUCGGGCCCGGAGGGGGCGUGCAGCGCAGCAUCCGGGGCAGCCACCGGUGACGUGAAUCGAGGUGGAAGAAGCACCGGCGAGGGAGAGCUCCGACGAGUCCUCCUCGUCCUCCUUCUCCAGCAGCAGGUCAGGGCGCAGAUCCCCUCCCAGCAGCGCGCCUGCUUCCUACAUCUCGCGAGCUCCGUCCAUCGAGAGGCUGCUCGAGGAGGACGCCGCACUGCUGCACGCAUAUCUUCAAAACUGAAUAAUGUUUUAAUCCAUUUGCCAACAAAAAGAAAAAGAGGUGCAGAAAACAGCUUACUUGGGGGAUACCAUGGAUCAUGCUUGAUUUGA
RNAcentral lists this long non-coding RNA (498 nucleotides) under Oryza sativa Indica Group (long-grained rice). RNAcentral describes it as "lncRNA OsZS97_11G021040". The record is from RNAcentral. RNAcentral also lists the same sequence under 1 other name. Lineage: Eukaryota; Viridiplantae; Streptophyta; Magnoliopsida; Poales; Poaceae.